GGUUUGAUCAUGGCUCAGAUUGAACGCUGGCGGGAUGCUUUACAUGCAAGUCGAACGGCAGCACGGACUUCGGUCUGGUGGCGAGUGGCGAACAGGUGAGUAAUGUAUCGGAACGUGCCUAGUAGCGGGGAUAACUACACUUGAAAGCGUAGCUAAUACCGCAUACGCCCUUCGAGGAAAGCGAGGGGACCUUCGGGCCUCGCACUAUUAGAGCGGCCGAUAUCAGUUAGCUAGUUGGUGGGGUAACAGCUCACCAAGGCGACGAUCCGUAGCUGGUUUGAGAGGACACUGACCAGCCACACUGGGACUGAGACACGGCCCAGACUCUGCAGGAGAACAGCGGUGAAAUUUUUUGGACAAUGGGGAAACCCUGAUCCAGCCAUCCGCGUGUGCGAUGAAGGCCUUCGGGUUGUAAAGCACUUUUGGCAGGAAAAGAAACGGCACGGGAUAAUACCCCGUGCAACUGACGGUACCUGCAGAAUAAGCACCGGCUAACUACGUGCCAGCAGCCGCGGUAAUACGUAGGGUGCAAGCGUUAAUCGGAAUUACUGGGCGUAAAGCGUGCGCAGGCGGUUCGGGAAAGAAGAUGUGAAAUCCCAGAGCUUAACUUUGGAACUGCAUUUUUAACUACCGAGCUAGAGUGUGUCAGAGGAGGUGGAAUUCCGCGUGUAGCAGUGAAAUGCGUAGAUAUGCGGAGGAACACCGAUGGCGAAGGCAGCCUCCUGGGAUAACACUGACGCUCAUGCACGAAAGCGUGGGAGCAAACAGGAUUAGAUACCUGGUAGUCCACGCCUAAACGAUGUCAACUAGCUGUUGGAGACCUUCGGGCCUUGGUAGCGCAGCUAACGCGUGAAGUUGACCGCCUGGGAAGUACGGUCGCAGAUUAAAACUCAAAGGAAUUGACGGGGACCCGCACAAGCGGUGGAUGAUGUGGAUUAAUUCGAUGCAACGCGAAAAACCUUACCUACCCUUGACAUGUCUGGAAUCCCGAGAUUUGGGAGUGCUCAUAAGAGAACCGGAACACAGGUGCUGCAUGGCUGUCGUCAGCUCGUGUCGUGAGAUGUUGGGUUAAGUCCCGCAGCGAGCGCAACCCUUGUCAUUAGUUGCUACGAAAGGGCACUCUAAUGAGACUGCCGGUGACAAACCGGAGGAAGGUGGGGAUGACGUCAAGUCCUCAUGGCCCAUAUGGGUAGGGCUUCACACGUCAUACAAUGGUCAGGACAGGGGUCGCCAGCCCGCGAAGAGGCAAUCCCAGAAACCCGAUCGUAGUCCGGAUCGCAGUCUGCAACUCGACUGCGUGAAGUCGGAAUCCUUAGUAAUCGCGGAUCAGCAUGUCGCGGUGAAUACGUUCGGGUCUUGUACCUGCCCGUCACACCAUGGGAGUGGGUUUACCAGAAGUAGUUAGCCUAACCGUAAGGAGGGCGAUUACCACGGUAGGAUUCAUGACUGGGGUGAAGUCGUAACAAGGUAG
Molecule: ribosomal RNA, 1471 nt
Filed under: uncultured Bordetella sp.
Lineage: Bacteria; Pseudomonadati; Pseudomonadota; Betaproteobacteria; Burkholderiales; Alcaligenaceae
Description: partial 16S-23S ribosomal RNA intergenic spacer
Rfam family: Bacterial small subunit ribosomal RNA
Source: RNAcentral